Macaca fascicularis (crab-eating macaque) is the source of this 292-nucleotide unclassified non-coding RNA. It matches the Rfam family "Metazoan signal recognition particle RNA". From Rfam's summary of the family: The signal recognition particle (SRP) is a universally conserved ribonucleoprotein. The record is from Ensembl. NCBI's taxonomy places the organism in Eukaryota, Metazoa, Chordata, Mammalia, Primates, Cercopithecidae.
GCAUGCACCUGUAGUCCCAGCUACUAAGGAGGCCGAAGCAGAAGGAUCACCUGAGGCCAGAAGUUCUGGGCUGUAGUGUGCUAUGCUGAUUGACUUUCCAUAUUAAGUUCAGCAUUAAUAUGGUGACCUCCUGGGAGUGGACGGACCACUUACUAGGUUGCCUAAGGAGGGGUGAACCUGCCCAGGUCAGAAACGGAGCAGGUCAAAAGGCUUGUGCUGAUCAGUAGUGGGACUGCACCUAUGACUAGCCAAGGCACUCCAGCCUGGGCAACAUAGUGAGACUUCGUCUUUA